UAUUUUUGGGCUGAUUUUUGGGUGAUUUUGUGCUGAUUUUGGGGUAAUUUUUCCCAUUUUUCCCCCAUUUCCCCCGCUGCAGACUCGUUUGUGAUCCGGCUCUUUGGGGAUUUUGGGGCUGAUUUUUGGGCUGAUUUUUGGGUGAUUUUGGGUUGAUUUGAGUCUGAUUUUGUGCUGAUUUGGGGCUGACUUUGGGGUGAUUUUGGUGCCGAUUUUUGGGUGAUUUUGGGUUGAUUUUUUUGCUGAUUUUUGUGCUGAUUUUGGGGUAAUUUUUCCCAUUUUUUCCCCAUUUCCCCCGUUGCAGACUCGUUUGUGAUCCGGCUCUUUGGGGAUUUUGGGGCUGAUUUUUGUGCCGAUUUUUGGGCUGAUUUUUGGGUGAUUUUUGUGCCGAUUUUUGGGCUGAUUUUUGGGUGAUUUGGGGCUGAAUUUGGGC
This 433-nucleotide long non-coding RNA is filed under the name Zonotrichia albicollis (white-throated sparrow). RNAcentral describes it as "lncRNA (ENSZALG00000001181.1)". Lineage: Eukaryota; Metazoa; Chordata; Aves; Passeriformes; Passerellidae. The record is from RNAcentral.